CAGUGGGGAAUAUUGGACAAUGGGCGCAAGCCUGAUCCAGCCAUGCCGCGUGAGUGAUGACGGCCUUAGGGUUGUAAAGCUCUUUCGCUCGGGACGAUAAUGACGGUACCGAGAUAAGAAGCCCCGGCUAACUUCGUGCCAGCAGCCGCGGUAAUACGAAGGGGGCUAGCGUUGUUCGGAAUUACUGGGCGUAAAGCGCGUGUAGGCGGGCUUUUAAGUCAGGGGUGAAAUGCCGAGGCUCAACCUCGGAACUGCCUUUGAUACUGGAAGUCUUGAGUCCGGGAGAGGUGAGUGGAACUGCGAGUGUAGAGGUGAAAUUCGUAGAUAUUCGCAAGAACACCAGUGGCGAAGGCGGCUCACUGGCCCGGAACUGACGCUGAGACGCGAAAGCGUGGGGAGCAAACAGGAUUAGA
Molecule: ribosomal RNA, 413 nt
Filed under: uncultured bacterium
Lineage: Bacteria
Description: bacterial SSU rRNA
Rfam family: Bacterial small subunit ribosomal RNA
Source: RNAcentral